Cydia fagiglandana is the source of this 106-nucleotide long non-coding RNA. RefSeq lists it as uncharacterized. The transcript has 5 exons. The record is from RefSeq and is a predicted model, not a curated record. Lineage: Eukaryota; Metazoa; Arthropoda; Insecta; Lepidoptera; Tortricidae.
GAGCUUGACAGUAUAGCUGCGGAACUGGAAAAUGACAUUGAGAGGGCACAGUCAAAAACAACAGACAUAAGAUCCAAAUUAAAGCAACCAUCGAGCGUUAGAAUGG